CCCUGUUCAGCCUACUCGAAGGGAACACGUUUUAUCUCCAUGAGAAGAAAGUUUCUCGCAAAUCCCAUGGACUUAAGCAGGCUCGCUGAAACAAAUUUUCUGUCUUUUUAACUGAGAAUUCCGAGGAUAAAUUCUCGCUAAAGAUAUAGUUUAACGGGAAAUUUACUUAUUAUAAUAAUGAAAUAGGCGCUAGUAGUUCUAAAAUAUUCAACCUUUAAGGACGUGAAGCGGUCCGGUUUUCCCAUAAGGAAUGCUCUUAAAAGAAUUCUUUGUCUUAAACUUUUUAUAUAAAGUAUCUUUUAUUUAAAAAAAAGUGUCCCACAAGAACCAACUUUCGCACGAGAUGAAGAAGACGAACAUAAUAUACCUAAUUACUUUAGGAAUAACUUUGAUCAUUGUCACCUUAAGAACUUUUAUGAGCCAAUAAAUGUACAAUAACCA
Long non-coding RNA from Penaeus vannamei (Pacific white shrimp), 441 nucleotides. RefSeq lists it as uncharacterized. Lineage: Eukaryota; Metazoa; Arthropoda; Malacostraca; Decapoda; Penaeidae. The record is from RefSeq and is a predicted model, not a curated record.